Molecule: ribosomal RNA, 1346 nt
Filed under: uncultured bacterium
Lineage: Bacteria
Description: partial 16S ribosomal RNA
Rfam family: Bacterial small subunit ribosomal RNA
Source: RNAcentral
GACGAACGCUGGCGGCGUGCUUAACACAUGCAAGUCGAACGGAAAGGCCCUGCUUUUGUGGGGUGCUCGAGUGGCGAACGGGUGAGUAACACGUGAGUAACCUGCCCUUGACUUUGGGAUAACUUCAGGAAACUGGGGCUAAUACCGGAUAGGAGCUCCUGCUGCAUGGUGGGGGUUGGAAAGUUUCGGCGGUUGGGGAUGGACUCGCGGCUUAUCAGCUUGUUGGUGGGGUAGUGGCUUACCAAGGCUUUGACGGGUAGCCGGCCUGAGAGGGUGACCGGCCACAUUGGGACUGAGAUACGGCCCAGACUCCUACGGGAGGCAGCAGUGGGGAAUAUUGCACAAUGGGCGGAAGCCUGAUGCAGCAACGCCGCGUGCGGGAUGACGGCCUUCGGGUUGUAAACCGCUUUCGCCUGUGACGAAGCGUGAGUGACGGUAAUGGGUAAAGAAGCACCGGCUAACUACGUGCCAGCAGCCGCGGUGAUACGUAGGGUGCGAGCGUUGUCCGGAUUUAUUGGGCGUAAAGGGCUCGUAGGUGGUUGAUCGCGUCGGAAGUGUAAUCUUGGGGCUUAACCCUGAGCGUGCUUUCGAUACGGGUUGACUUGAGGAAGGUAGGGGAGAAUGGAAUUCCUGGUGGAGCGGUGGAAUGCGCAGAUAUCAGGAGGAACACCAGUGGCGAAGGCGGUUCUCUGGGCCUUUCCUGACGCUGAGGAGCGAAAGCGUGGGGAGCGAACAGGCUUAGAUACCCUGGUAGUCCACGCUGUAAACGGUGGGUACUAGGUGUGGGGUCCAUUCCACGGGUUCCGUGCCGUAGCUAACGCUUUAAGUACCCCGCCUGGGGAGUACGGCCGCAAGGCUAAAACUCAAAGGAAUUGACGGGGCCCCGCACAAGCGGCGGAGCAUGCGGAUUAAUUCGAUGCAACGCGUAGAACCUUACCUGGGUUUGACAUGGAUCGGGAGUGCUCAGAGAUGGGUGUGCCUCUUUUGGGGUCGGUUCACAGGUGGUGCAUGCCUGUCGUCAGCUCGUGUCGUGAGAUGUUGGGUUAAGUCCCGCAACGAGCGCAACCCUUGUUCACUGUUGCCAGCACGUUAUGGUGGGGACUCAGUGGAGACCGCCGGGGUCAACUCGGAGGAAGGUGGGGAUGACGUCAAGUCAUCAUGCCCCUUAUGUCCAGGGCUUCACGCAUGCUACAAUGGCUGGUACAGAGAGUGGCGAGCCUGUGAGGGUGAGCGAAUCUCGGAAAGCCGGUCUCAGUUCGGAUUGGGGUCAGCAACUCGACCUCAUGAAGUCGGAGUCGCUAGUAAUCGCAGAUCAGCAACGCUGCGGUGAAUACGUUCCCGGGGCC